UGCCGGGUCGUCUAAAGGUAGGACAAUUGCCUCUGGAGCAAUUUAUCUUGGUUCGAGUCCAAGCCCGGCAGCCA
This 74-nucleotide transfer RNA is filed under the name bacterium. RNAcentral's name for it is "tRNA-Gln". It matches the Rfam family "tRNA". Rfam says of the family: Transfer RNA (tRNA) molecules are approximately 80 nucleotides in length. Their secondary structure includes four short double-helical elements and three loops (D, anti-codon, and T loops). RNAcentral also lists the same sequence under 1 other name. The record is from RNAcentral.